Molecule: long non-coding RNA, 4715 nt
Organism: Leopardus geoffroyi (Geoffroy's cat)
Lineage: Eukaryota; Metazoa; Chordata; Mammalia; Carnivora; Felidae
Exons: 2
Source: RefSeq, a predicted model, not a curated record
UAUAAUUUCUGCUGUUGAUUGACAUUUCACUUGUUUCCAGUUUUGGCUCUUAUAAGUAAAUGCUGUCUUUUGGUGAACAUAUAUAUGCGUUUCUGGUGGAGUUAAGUGCAACUGCUGGGACAUAGGGUAUUAAUCUUCUGUUUUAAUACAUAAUACCAUGUGGUUUUCCAAAGUGCUUGUUCUAGUGUACAGUCCCAUCAUCAGGAAUUCCUCUACAAUACUUCAUAAUGUUUUUUUUUUUAAUUAUUCUGAAGAGUGGGUAAUGGUAUCUUUUUGUGGUGAUAAUUUACAAUUCCCUAAUUCCUAAUAAGGUGGAGCAACUUUUCGUGUUUAUUUAACCAUUUGGAUAUCAACUUUUGUGAAAUCUAAGUUAAAUCUUUUGCCCUAUUUAACUGUUGGGUUGCAUAUCUUUUUCCUUCUUGUUUUUUAGGAGUUCUUUAUAAAUUCUGGAUACAAUUGUGAUUAUAUGUAUAAGAAAUAUCUUUUCCUACUUGUGAUCAUCCCUUCCACACAUAAUGGUGACUUUGAUGAACAGAAGUUCUUAGUUUUAAUUAAUUUUAAUUUUAUUGUAGUUUAAGCUCUCAGUCUUACACAUUACAGUUGAUAUUUUUUGUGUACCGUUCAAGAAAUACUUUCUUAUCCACGGUCAUAAAAAUGUUCUCCUGGGUGCCCCUGGGUGGCUCAGUCAGCUAAGUGUCAGACUUCAGCUCAGGUCAUGAUCUCAUGGUUCAUGAGUUCGAGGCCUGUGUGGGGCUCUCUGCUGUCAGUGCAGAGCUCGCUUCAGAUCCUCAGUCUGCCUCUCUGCCUCUCUCCUCUUUCUCUCAAAACUAAAUAAACAUUAAAAAAAAAAAAGGUUUAAAAAAUUAUUCUCCUGUAUUAUUGUCUAGAAUAUAGAAAUUUAUUGUUUUGCCUUUCACAAUUAUAGCACUAAUUCUAACUGGAAUUGAUUUUUGUUAUUGGUGUGAGGUCAAGGUUUUAUUUCUCAUAUAGAUAUUCACUUGUCCCAGCACCCUUUAUUAACUGUUCCCCAAUAUUUUUUCCCCAGUAUUCUUCAGUGACACUUUAUUCAUAAGUCAAGUAGGCAUGUAUGCAUGAAUCAAUUUCUGGGCUCUCUUGCCUGUUCUCAUCUCUAAAAGUGGUAAUUCAUAUGGCUCAACAUAAAAUGUAGAAAUACAAUUGUUUUUUAUAUUUUGACUUUUACUCUGCAAACUAGCUAAAUUGCUUAUUGAUGCUAUUAACUUAUCUCUAGGUGCUCUGAACUAGGUCCAUAAACUGUCACAAUCUGAGGUUAAUAAUAACAUUUAUUUCUAACUUUCCAAUCCUUUUAGUUUUAAAUUCUUUUUUUUUUUGUUUCCUUGCAUUACUUUACUGGCUACAGCCAGCAUGAUAUUGAAUAUAAGUGGUAUUUAGUAGGCAUCUUUGACCAAUAACUCAUCUCAGAUAAACCUUCGGCAUUUCACUGUUAAGAAUGUUGUUUACUAUAGUUUUUCUCCACCCCCACCCCCAGAUAUCCUUUAUCAUAUGUGUCAGUUGGGGUUCUUAGCAAGAUCCUAAGACAGAGUUAGGAGUGCAAGAGAUUUAUUGAGGGCUAAUGCCUUUGAAACAUAAGGAGAAGGAAACAUGAUUGGGCAGGGAGAACCUCAGACAGGGUUGCAAUAUCUUGGCAAAUCACUGGGGAAUUGUGGAGUAACGGCUGCUUUUUGGAAGCAUAUCCAGAGAUAGCCAGGCCCUACUAUACCUGCUGGGCCUAUUCAUUGGCUGGGAGUUGCUCAAAAAGAACUUGGCCUUACCUUAGUCACUACAGUCAGGUACUGCAGUCACAGGCUGAUAGCUAGCAGCAUUUUUCAUAGCUUGGAUGGCAAGUUCUUCCUUUUACGGAGAUCUGAGCAGUAUACAGUAAAAAAACUGACUAUCAAAGGCAAAGAGAUACAUUCUAAAACCAACCAGAGAAAAAAAGAAGACCUUCAAAGAAGCUAGAAUUAGCCUGACAGCUGAAUUAUAAACUGAAACAAUUGGAGGCAAAAAAAAAAAAAAAAAAAAAAAAAAAAAAAUUAAAAAAAUUGAACUAGAAUUCUAUACCCAGUGAAAAUGUUCUUCGUGUGCAAAGAAAAACACAGGCAUUUUCAAACAGACAAGAACAUAGAGAAUUUGUCACCAGAAGAUUUGCACCAAAGGAAAUAAUAGAGGAUAUUCUUCAGCUUGAAGGUAAAUUACUUCAGAAGCUUAGAAAUGCAAAGGAUAAAGAGCAUUAAAAAUAAAAAUAUGUGGAUAACUAAAUGCAUAUAUAUUGUGUAUAGCAAUGAUAAUAAUAGUAUCCUGAUGAAUACAGCAUGACAGCAUUCUGCUACUACUAAUACUAGAUCAUCAGAAACUUGGCAGCUUUUACCUGGGUCUCUUGGACCUCUAGAAAUUGGGACAUUUCUUUUGGGACCCAGUUGCCAUGAUGUGAAAAUCCUAAGCCACAUGGGGAGCCCCCAUAUAGUCCUACAGUCAGUGGUCCCAGUUGAGUGCCCACUUACCAGCCAUCAUCCCUUUUCUGCCACUGUGGAUGAGCAGCACAUUUAAACAUUCAGAUGAAUCAGCUACAACUUGCAUCUUAUGGCAGCCAUUUGAGUAACAUCAAGUGAGAUCUAACCAACUGAGUCUAGUCAGUCCAGAAGAAUGUGAAGGAUAAUAAUAAAAUGCUGUUUUAAGCUGUUAAACUUUGGAGUGUUUUACUAUGCACCAUUAGAUAGCCAGAACAUCUAAUAUCAUGUAAUACCUGGUUGGUCUGUAUCCCUUUUCUUCUACCAUUUCAAAAAUUCUUUUUCAUACUUUAGGUAUUUAAAUCAAGAUCUAAACAAGGUCUGUAUAUUGCGUUUGGUUGAUAUGUCUCGUAAGUCUCUUUUAAGCCAUCUCCCUAUGCCAAUUUUUUGUUGUUGUUGAAGAUAUUGAAUCAUUUGUCUAUAGGACUUCCUACAACCAGGCUGAGCUAAUAUCAUCUUCUUGGUAUAAUUUAACAUACCUCUGUCUUACGGAUUUUCUAUAAACUUUUGCUAAAUAUAGAGUCUUGAUCAGGUUUAGAUUAAAUUUUUUUCCCUUGGCAAGAAUAUUUGAAGUAGUUUUUGUGUAAUGAAGAAUAUGAAUGGUCUCUGUCUGCGCCCCAGUAGGGAGACUUUAAAUCUUGGGAUAUCCUUAGAAGUAAGAGUGUCUUUGUUAUUCAUGAGCCCUUGGAUCACACCUGAGUUAAUGCCUAACACGAUGACUGAAGAUGGGGGUUGGUCACUAGAAAAACUAAUUAUGUGGUUAGAGGGUUUGGACUUUGAGUCAUCCCAUCUGCCUCCAAGAACGAGAGGGGGCUAGAAAUUGAGUUCAGUCACAUAGGUGGCCAGUGAUUUAAUAAACCAUAUCUUUGUAAUGAAACUCCAAUAAAAACUCUGGACACUGAAGCUGUAUAGAGCUUCCUUGUUAGUAAGCACAUCUGUGUGCCAGGAAAGUGACAUACCCUGAUUGCAUAGAGAGAAGGCACAGAAUUUCUGUGUUUGGGGCCCUCCAAGACUUCACCCUAUAUGCUUCUUUAGAAGAAAACUAGUUUGAGUAUAGUUCUGAGUUCUAAGCUUGAUGGGGAGGAAUCAUGGAAACCUCCCAGAUCUGUAGUCAGUUGGUUAGAAGUACACAUGGCCUCAACUCCCUAGCUUGUGGUUGGUGUAUGAAGUAAAGACUGUCUUGUUAGGGACUGUAUCCUUUAGCCUGUAGAUUCUAAAGCUAACUCAAAGUGAUUAGCGUCAGGAUUCUAUUACAGUCCACCAGUGAUACUGUAGUUUUUGUUUUUCAUCAGAAGACAUGUCAUGUCAGGUUGGUUGUUUUAGAUUUUUAGGUCACAGAUUUUCAUAUGUAGGCAUUUAAUGGUUCUGGAAAUAAAGUGUUAUAACAUUACUUCUGUUGCUCUUCUAAGCUGGAAGUUGGCACACUUUAUGUAAAGGGCCAUGUAUUAAAUACUUUAGGGUUUGUGUGUGAAAUGGUCUGUGUCCCAAGUACUCAAGUUCUGUCAUUGUACUAUGAGAGCAACCAUAGACUGUAUACAAGGAAUGGGAAUAAAACUUACAUUUACCAAAACUGGAGCUAGACAGAGGACUCUGGGAAGAUGAUAGAGUAUGAAGUAGCAGGAUUCCCUCUCCCCAUGUAGACAACAGUGGCACUGGUAGAAUAUGUCUAAUGUCUUUUGAAGGCUUGCAACUUUCAGAGGAAGGCUUGGGGGUAAAUUGAAGUAAAUUUCAGUCCAUUUUAGCUCUUAGCACAGAAGCAACUACCUACUCCCACCCUCCAGCCCUGUGGCAGGCAGCUCUGCACACAUUCAUUGAAUAGCUUGUACACAGAGUGCAGGAGCCAUGGUGGGCAAAAAAGGAACUUGGAGAUUCGUGCCCUGAUCAUUACCCCUGAUCUCAAAGGUGUAGAUAAAGGAGGUAGCCAUUGUUGUUGCAACUCCAUCCAUUAUUAAAGUUCUCUGCCUGAAGUAACCCAGAAGACUUAAAGGGCUAACAACCUUUUCCCUCCAUUUAUUUUUCUCUUUUUCCCCUUUUGGGAGCCAGACAUUAAUGAGUAGGACAUUCAAAGCAAUUGCAUGUAUGGGGAAAUGAUAAAAUUACCACAAAUGUUCAGGGAAAGACCUUAAAUUUUGGCCUAGAUAGAGCCUACUAUAAUUAAAAAAUCAAAAACAAUACAAACAAAACAAAAAC